CCAUUUCCGUAACGAAAUAGUAUAAUAGAGUAACUGUAUUUAUUUUUAUAUCGACACACAUCUCUCUGGAAUACUAUAGGGGGCAUCCGGAAAUCUUCUAGGGCGCACACUUUGGAAACCACUGGGUUAAUUGUAUUCCGUUCGAAAACCAAACUGGACUAACGAGAAGGUAGUAUUAGCGUCCUAAAGACCGUUUUAUCGCUUAUCGCCCGGAUUUAUUCCAUACACUCGUUAACUUUCUCCGUCCCGUCGGGGUCUGAGGCGAGUCGUUGCAACCCAGGUGGACCCGUGGUAAAAUUGUAUCGACCUCCGCCGUAUUUAUUGCUGAUGGAGAUGGAAAGCGUUUGUAAUCAUUUUCCGACCAUAAAGCGGCGGAACUAGUCUGACCACCCGCCGAUGGGCCGAUGGGUGAGGCAGGGUGGCGGCCGAGACCCCGGGCCGGCAGAAAAUUUUCCCGAGUCGGUGCGGGGAUGGGGUCCGAACUCGGUAGAUGGAAAGCCGUAGGCCUUGGGGGCCGGCUACCGAGCGGACCGGGGUCAAACCAGUAAGAUCCAUCAUCGUAAUGGAAGAAAUGGGCGAGGGCCAGAGUUGGCCACUUUAAUCGAAUACAUUGUAUAUCUGAACUUAUAUAACGGCUGUUCUCCAUCGAGUAGGCAAAAUCCCCAGCUAGACGCUAUAUUUUCGAUAUUUUAAUAAUUAUAAUAUUUUUUAUGGUGACCGAUGGGAAUUUUAACAAUAAAUGUCGACCGCCCGCGGAUACGACUUUAAACUAGGUCUGUUACUGGGCACCGUAUAAUAAGACAAACCUAUUUAAAUAAGGAAUGAUGGUAAUAUUAUAUUGGAAUGACUCGAACUGGCUAUACCCGGUUGGGGGAAACAGGCCGAAGCCAGGUAGUUUCCGUCCAGCUUCCGACCGAGUCCGCGGUCCGCGCACCAGCCAACUAGCCAGUGGCACCAUGGCUUUUCGUAUCUAAACGUAACGACAGAAGUGAAGUUUGGGGGACCAGCUCAUCCAACCCAAAAUAUCAUUACGGCGGUUCGACAUAACGCGAUUCUUACUACAGAUGAUACGGGGAUAGAAUAGAAAGAAUUCAGCGGAAUACGGCAUCCGAUGCCGGUGGUUGGAAGUAAUUUCGAAUGGCCCGAGCUACUACUCGUAACUUUCCCAGACCGUACGAUUUUCUCGUUUAGUUACGGGUGAGAGCCGGACGGAAACUAUUAUUUGGUGGAGUCGAUGGAACCGUUUAUCCGUCAGCGUGUCCCCAGUGUUUAAUUAAUGGUCUUUCCCCAGCUACUUCCAUUGUCACUUCCAGUUAGUCGAAAGAAGGCUAUAACCCACCAUUCCGGUUAAUAACCUUAUUAAAUGGAAGUCCGAGAUAGCCCGACUAGUCAUAUAGUAUACACCAGAUAUAGGGCCAGUAGAUAUUAAGUGUUCUUUCUGGCCAAUUGUCCCGGUGUAUCGGAUACUGGUUUCAUUUAAUGCAAAUGGGUGGCACCGUUUUCGAAAAGAACGGCCCUAUUAGUCGACCUUUAUCUGGAAAUCUGGUUAUCCGUACCCGUGUUUCUUUUUCAAAUUUGAUUCGUAUCCGAUUGGUUCCAAAUAUCGCCUACCGCCGGGUGGCCCUAUUAAACCAGCGGUCGGUAAUGGUUUUAAAAUUUACUCCGUUAAUAGGUUUAAUGGAGAAAAAAUAUUGUGUGUAGGUUUUUAUUCGUCUAGUUAUUUUAAUUAACCCAUCAUCCACCUAGUCUAAAAACCACCAGUUAAAGAAGGAUGGGAAAAUCGACCGAUUUCGGUUCCGCCUUGUAUUUUCCAGUCUUAUUUCCAUGGUGGCUGCCUAGAGACGGAAAACAAUCGACCUUUAACGGUCUCUGGGUGUUGUAAAAAAAUAUAAUGGUUUUUUAUUGCGGCCUAUUUGGAUACGCCGAUCCGGCUUUCCGAAGGAUAAACAUUUAAAACAGGAACGAGAAAUUAAAUUAAGAACGAAAUAUAGCUGGACGAGUUGGUCUGGUGUAAGCGGUGCACAUUUUUUCCAGACAGCUACCGCUCCACACGGACACAUGUUCCAUUCAAUCCUUAGAAAAAAAAAAUAUUUGAUUUGUAUCUAUAAUUUUACACGAUUUUUUUAAACUUAAGAUGGCCGCAAUUCGUUUAUAGUA
RNAcentral lists this long non-coding RNA (2157 nucleotides) under Androctonus crassicauda. The record is from RNAcentral. Lineage: Eukaryota; Metazoa; Arthropoda; Arachnida; Scorpiones; Buthidae.